This 74-nucleotide transfer RNA is filed under the name Candidatus Cloacimonadota bacterium. RNAcentral describes it as "tRNA-Met". It matches the Rfam family "tRNA". Rfam says of the family: Transfer RNA (tRNA) molecules are approximately 80 nucleotides in length. Lineage: Bacteria; Pseudomonadati; Candidatus Cloacimonadota. The record is from RNAcentral.
UGCGGGGUGGAGCAGCCUGGUAGCUCGUAAGCCUCAUAAGCUUAAGAUCGCUGGUUCAAAUCCAGCUCCCGCCA